This 155-nucleotide ribosomal RNA is filed under the name Koehneria madagascariensis. Its description in RNAcentral is "5.8S ribosomal RNA". It matches the Rfam family "5.8S ribosomal RNA". From Rfam's summary of the family: 5.8S ribosomal RNA (5.8S rRNA) is a component of the large subunit of the eukaryotic ribosome. It is transcribed by RNA polymerase I as part of the 45S precursor that also contains 18S and 28S rRNA. The record is from RNAcentral. Lineage: Eukaryota; Viridiplantae; Streptophyta; Magnoliopsida; Myrtales; Lythraceae.
CUCGGCAACGGAUAUCUCGGCUCUCGCAUCGAUGAAGAACGUAGCGAAAUGCGAUACUUGGUGUGAAUUGCAGAAUCCCGUGAACCAUCGAGUCUUUGAACGCAAGUUGCGCCCGAAGCCAUUCGGCCGAGGGCACGUCUGCCUGGGUGUCACGC